RNAcentral lists this ribosomal RNA (443 nucleotides) under uncultured bacterium. Its description in RNAcentral is "partial 16S ribosomal RNA". It matches the Rfam family "Bacterial small subunit ribosomal RNA", at positions 338 to 795 of the family's 1533-position model. The record is from RNAcentral.
CCUACGGGAGGCUGCAGUGGGGGAUAUUGGACAAUGGAGGAAACCCUGAUCCAGCGACGCCGCGUGAGUGAAGAAGUAUUUCGGUGUGUAAAGCUCUAUCAGCAGGGAAAAAAGAAAUGACGGUACCUGAGUAAGAAGCCCCGGCUAACUACGUGCCAGCAGACGCGGUAAUACGGAGGGGGCAAGCGUUAGCCGGAAUUACUGGGUGUAAAGGGAGCGUAGACGGUAAUGCAAGUCUGGAGUGAAAGGCGGGGGCCCAACCCCCGAACUGCUCUGGAAACUGUGUAACUGGAGUGCAGGAGAGGCAGGCGGAAUUCCUGGUGUAGCGGUGAAAUGCGUAGAUAUUAGGAGGAACACCAGUGGCGAAGGCGGCCUGCUGGACUGUAACUGACGUUGAGGCUCGAAAGCGUGGGGAGCAAACAGGAUUAGAUACCCCUGUAGUC